UUUGAGGUUUACUGCCAAGUCUGCUGAUUAUGAAGAUGAAGAUGAAGAUGAACAAGGUGCCAAAAAUUUCAAAGCUAAUAUUUACUAUGGAGUCAGACCUACGGAAGUAACCGCUGUUACGAUGCUCUCUACUUAAAAAAAAAAAAAAAAAAAGGUAAUUACUUCGUUUUUUCUCGUUUGUUUCAAUGAUGAAUAAUCCUUACUAAAAUUUAUAAUUACUAGUUAAGUUAGAUGUUGGAUAAUUAGUUUACUAGUUUGCGUUUUUUUUUUUUUUUUAUUUAAUCGUGUUUUCUAUGAAAUUGAUGUCGUCGGGGAACGUCACUCGCAAUUUAUACUGCUCCUCUUGAAUGUGGUGAAUAUACUUGCAAUACAGACCGAUCAACUCUUUUCUCGGUGACCUUCGAAGUUUAAUGUAUUUAUGUCUCUCAAAUUUAUAUGAUAUUUAGCAUGAAGCAUGUGAAAGGUAGAAUUUUCCCUAGUUUAUUGAACACUGUACAUUUGCUAUAACUCAAUUAAUUGGAACCAGAGUUUUUGUUAUAGAAAUUCAAAUUUAUACACUUUAACAUGUAACACGGUUUCGGAUUUUUCAAUUGCAGGUGAUUCCAGGUUCAUAGAAUAUAUAUAUAUAUAUAUAUAUAUAUAUAUAUAUAUAUAUAUAUAUAUAUAUAUAUAUAUAUAUAUAUAUAUAUAUAUAUAUAUAUAUAUAUAUAUAUACACACACACACGCGUGUGUAUACAUAUAUAUAUAGAGAAAGAAAAAAACAAAAAAGAAAGGGAAAAGAAGAAAAAAGAAAAGAAGAUUUGGUCCAAGUUUUAUUUCAAGGAGGACACGUCGAGCUGUCAUGUGGGUUCACUUUGAGAAAGAAGACGGUACAAGAAAAUUUAAUAAAAUAGUUUGAAUUUUGAAAGAAUAAAUUAAUUUUGCAUAAAACUCCUUUGUAUUGUAGAAGAUAUGCCCUAAAUCCCCCUGUGUCACAAAAAAACACUAAUGGUGUUAACUAUUAACAGAAAUGGAAAUUUCAUGCAAGAAAGAAGGGCUCUUGCGCAAGAAAAAAAAAACAGGGGUUUGGCGCAGGUUUUCCUUAUCUUCUCCGAACUUGGAAACUAUAAUCAGCCUGCAUAAAAAAUCCGAAAAUAUGUUAAGUAAUGCUCAAGCUGUUAAUAGUGUAAAUUUCUAUAACUUAAACUGGAAGGACUACAUUGCAAUUAAUUAACUUUUUCAUGGAUCUUGUCUUCAUGUAGCGAGCAAUUUUCUUCUAGCUUUUUUUUUUUGGUAAUUACAUGUGUACCCAUCUUUUUGUUUAAAAUUUUAUAAUCACUAAAAGUAGCUCACAAGCUCAUAUUUCAAACAUUUUAAAAUGUAAUUCUAUAAAUAAGACGAAAUAGUUUAUCAGUUUUUUAAUCGAUUUUAUUCGAUGUAAAAAUUUAUCAAGAUCUUGCAUAUCCAAUCUUAUAUCAUUAGAAUGGCCCGGAAAACAGAAAUUUCGAAUAAGCAAGAUAUUUGUAUUUAAAGAAAAUAUCUUAUGAUUAGGAAAAAGGGAGAGGAGUUAUUCAUUUAGAAAUAUGUACAAAAGACACACGUUCUCUUUCGAAAACUAUCUCGAGAAAAUCCUAACUCCGACGAACAAAAGAGAUAAUUAUAAAAGAUAACUUUUCUUUUGAUAAUUUAUAAAAGGGAAUUAGGCUGCGUACUAAACUGCGAGAUCAAGAAGAUGGAAUAAAUUACCCUUGAUUGAAAUUGCUACACAAGAAGAAGAUCAAAAAGAAAAAGAAGAAGAUGUUCGGAGGCCGCUGGAGAAACCAUUGAUUGAUAUGCAACAUAAGUUGAAGAUGAAGCUCGUCGUCCAUCGAUGGAUUUGAUCGACUUCUCGGGAAAGAGGCGCCGGUUGUCGUCGAGAACCUCACCCCCAUGCCAACCACCUUUAGCCUCAUGGAUCUUGUCGUCGAGAACCUCACCCCCAUGCCAACCACCUUUAGCCUCAUGGAUCUUGUCACCCGGUGUAGGAUCUCAAAAGCCGAUCUUGUCUUCGUGUAGCAAGCAAUUUUCUUGUUUCUAAUUUCUUUUGGGUAAUAAUUACACGUGUCCCCACUUCUUAAAAAAAAUUAUAAUAUCAAACAUUUUAAAACACAAUUCUAUAAAUAAGACGUAAUAAUUUAUCAAUUGUUUAAUCUUUAAAUAGUUUAUUAAAUAUUUAAAUGUAAAAAAAUUAUUAAGAUCUCGCAUAUCCAAUCUUAUAACAUUAGAAUGGCUCGUAAUAUUGGAAUUUCGAAUAAGCAAACUCCUUUUAUUUAAAGAAAAUAUAUCUUAUGAUCAAAGAAAGGGGAGACCUACUAGCGGUGGCUGAAGAGAGUUAAAUUCAUUCUGAAAUAUACACGUUCGUUCUCUUUUGAUAACUAUCUCGAGAAAACCCUAACUCCAACGGGAAUCUUCUCUUCAUAUGUCUUCUCCCACGAACCAAAGGGAUAAUUAUAAAAGCCUUUAAUAAAAGGAAACUUUUCUAAUGAUAAUUUAUAAAAGGAAACUUGGUCGCGUACUAAACUGCAAGAUCUAAUAUGGAAUGCAAAAGAAAGCGCGUGACUAGUGACUCUCUCGAGGUUGUGAAAUAUAUAAAAUAAAUAGAAUAUAGGGGAAAUUUGCUAGACACCCCUUAUUUUAGACUUAUAUGGCUAGAGAUCCUAGUUUUUAGAUGAAUAUAGGCAUACGUCCUUUGACCCAAUAAAUUAAUAUAAAUAAAUUAAAAUAAUUAGUAUAUAGACCAUAACACCCUCAAUUAAUAAGAAAACAAAUCUUAUAUAUCUUUUCUCUCCAAUCUCACGUUACUUUCCCCCUAUAUAAUUCCUCAUCUCUCUCCUUCUGUUAUUUUCCCCCUAUAUAAUUCCUCAUCUCUCUCCUUCUGCAACUCAAUUCUCAUGCCUCUCUCUCUCUCUCUGGUGCUUCUCUCUCUCUCUUUUUUUUUUCUUUUUCGUUUUCUUUUUUUUAGUGAAGAAAUAUUAUAGAGAUGAAAAAAAACAAGGAUCUUUUUAGAUUAUGAGAGGAUUUCUUUGUGAAAGAAUUAAAGAGGACGACAAACAUCCCCUCCAAAAAAAAUCAGAAAUCCAGAAUCCUAGCCAAAUUCGCAUUGUGUUUUCCGUAUGUAGAACCUCCCAUCGUUUGUUGUUAGCAAUUUCCGUUUGCAGUUGGUUUAAUUUCGUUUGUUGUUUGAAUAAUUGCGUUUGAUGUUGAGAUUCGAUUCAUCUGGUUUACAAUUUGCAAGGUAUGUCUUAAGUUACAUUUUACAAACAUUUUGUUUAAUAUUUUUGUUGUUUGCAAACUGUUCUAUAAACAAUUUUUUGGUUGAUGUUUUUAAUGAUACUGAUUUUUUUUAUUUUUUUUCAGUUUGUUGUUUGCAUUUGGCCAAGUCAUAGGUAGUUUAUUGUUUGCAAUUCAAUAAUGCAAGUUUUGCUGAAUGUUUUUCUUCAGUUUGCUGUUUGCAUUUGGCGAAGUCAUAGGUAAUUUUUUGUUUGUAAUUUAGUAAUACAAAUUAUGAAUUUUGUUUUUUCAGUUUGUUGUAUGCAUUUGGCGAAAUCAUAGGUAUUUUGUUGUUUGCAAUUCAAUAAUAUAAAAUCUAAUUUUCAGUUUGCUAUUUGCAGUUCGCGGAGUACGUCGUAGUUCCCGGAUCAUAGGUGGUGGUGGGGCUGCGGUGACAUUUUUAGAGUAUGAGUUUGUAAAAUAAAUUGUAUAUUUUUGUUAUGAAUUAAUUUAUUUGUUUUGGUUAAUAUUUGGAAGAGAGAUGUUUGGGAAUUUGUUAUGAUAGAUAGAUUUUUGGGGAUUUGAUUUGAUUUAAUUAAGGGCAUUUUUGCCAUAAUAAAUAUUAUUAAUUUAUUAAAACAUUAAAUUUUGGCUUGAAUUUACAAACAUAAAUUAUAAUAUAGAGGGACCUCUAGCAAAUUGCCCCUAGAAUAUAUUAUAGGGGGCGGUUAAAACUAUUACCAAAUUUUUAUACUUCAAUACCACUAAGUUUGAAACCAUUUUUUAUAAAAGUUUUUACAAUGUUUUCUUAGUUUAAUACUACAAAUAAAAAAAAUUAUUAGCAAAGUACUAAAAUACCUCUGAUCAAACAAAAUACAAUUUAUACAAAUAAAAUUAUUUUUCCCUCAUUUCAAUACCAAGGAUAAAAAAAGAAAAACAAAUCCUCUCUUCUUCUCCUCCAAACUCAAACCCCUUAAACCCUCUCUUCUUCUACAUCUUCUUAUAAAUUCUUCCAAAAAUCUUCAAAUUCAAAAAUAUCAAAACCUCACAAAACUUAUACAAUGGAGUCACAAGACAAUAAAAUGGUAGUAUACAUGGAAGGAAACUCCAUUAAAGUAUGUGUCCAUGUCUUUUUUUAGCUUCGAAGUUGAUUAUGAAGUUUUUUUUAAAACCCGUCGACUCGACAUAUACAUGUCGAAAAAUCACUGCUGCAAAAAAAAAAUUUAUAAACCAACACUGUUGUUUCGACACAUACCUGUCGAAAUUAGGUAUGUGUCGAAAUUAUUUUUUUUUUCGACAAGUUGGUGUCGAAAAUUAACCAAAAAUUCGACAUGUAUGUAUCAAAAAUUGUCGGUGGGGUUCAAAAAACAAAACUACGAAGUUAAAAAACGACAUGGAUACAUAUUUUAAUGUGUUCUCAUUGGUCGUAAACUAUCAUUUUGUUGUCAUUUGACUCCAUUUUGUAAGUUGUGUGAGGUUUUAAUUUUUCUAGUUUUGAGAUUUUUUAGGAGGGUUUGUUGUGAUGAAGAAGAAGGAGGUUGAGGGAUUUAUGAAGAAGGAAAUGAGUUUGAUGGGUUUUGUGUGUUUGGUAUUGAAGAAAGAAAAAUGAGAUUUUUAAUGUUUUUAUGGUAUUGAUUUUCAUCAAGGGUAUUUAUGUCAUUACCUAUUUAUUAUCCAAUUUUUAUUUUUUUGAUAUUGAAGUGAGAAAACUUUAAUAAUAAUGCCAUUAAACAUUAUCCAUUGGUAUUCUUAAAAAAUGUAUAAAAUAAAAGAGAACUAUCACCAUUUUUAUUUAAAAUAUAACAAUUUUUAUUUAAAAUAUAGGGGCUUUUUGAGAAAACUCCCUCACUAUUUUUUUUAAUGGAGGGAGACCCAAAAUAUUUUAAUCUAUUUGAGAAAAGCCCACACUCAUUUUCAGCCAUUAUGUUUUCCAACUUUGCCCCCGUCCGCCACAUCAACACUUGCUCACGCGCUCAACAAUUUUUUAUUUUUUUUUCUGUUUUUUUCCCGUCUUUUCUGUAUCAGUUUCCUUAAUCGACUAUGAAGCAUAGUCGAUUAACCUUAAUAGACUAUGCUUCAUAGUCGAUUAAGGAAAUUAUUUAUUUUUUUAUUUAUUUUUUGUUUUUUAAUAUUUUUUUUCUAUAUGAGGUAUAUUAAUUGACUAUGAUGUGAAGCGUAGUGGAUUAAGAAUCUGCGAAUAAAAAUAACAAAUCACAAUUGCGAAAAAAAUACAAAAUCAACUAUAUAUUACAAAAGCAAAAAAUAUAAAAAUAUUAGAAAUGAGAUUAUACAAUUUGGAAUCAAUAAAAAAAAAGUUCAAAAAAAAAAUAAAAAAAAAUGGAGUUGAUCGACCUUAAUCGACUGCCAUAGCAUAGUCAAUUAGCUUAACCGACUAUGAACAUGUACAUACUCGAUUAAGGUCUCAGCAUGCGCGAAAUUCUCUACCAGCGCCGUCCUCCACCCGAUCCUCCAAAAAACCCUAAAUCUGUCUCCCCAUCGUCACCACAGUGCCGCCACAUCACAUUAUUCAUACUGUUGUAGAAAAUCCUCAAUAGUAUUCGUGUUGUUUGAGAAACGUGAUUUCUUCGACAAAUAAAAUUAUAAUAAAACAAACAGUAAUUAAUUACUCCAACAUUUUUUACUCACAAAAAGUGAUGUUGCAGAGUAUUCAAAAUCAAAAUUUAAUGGAGAUGAUGAAUUUAAAAUAAAAACAAAUCUAUCAGUUAAAGAAAACAACCCGCAUCGGCAACAACUUGUUUGACGGGGUCUUCAUAUCGUCGAGCCGAAACCUCGUCGUCGUCAGCCUUCGCGGCCAGAGCUCCACCCACAAUAUGUCCAAUCAUGAUGGUUGUAGCAGUUCUUCACCCAAUAUGUCUGCCAAUGUUCAUCGGAACAGCAUUUAACGGCGUCGGCCGAAAUCUGAUCGAGAAGAGAAGAAGCAGAUCGAGAAGAAAAAACAAAAACGAGAGAAGAGAAGAGGGAAAAUGAGAAGAAAAGAGAUAACAGCGGGGACAUGUUAAACUUUAGGGUUAAGAGUAAGGGUAUAAUUGGAAGAUUAGCUUUAUUAAUUAUUCAAAUUAACAACAAAAAGGAUUUUCUCUAAUUGUUUUUUAGAUGAGGUGUUUUCUUAACUCAUUUUCCUAGAUGAGGGGGUUCUUGCUAAUUAUCCCAAAAAUAUAAUCUCAUUGAAAGUGAAAGAAUUUAUGGUCCCGAAUUCGUUUAAUACAGAGAUGUUAUCUGAAGUGUUAUGACACUUGAGAAAACAUGCAGCGGAAAUAUAAAGAUAAAAAGACAAUACUCAGAAUUAAAAAUGUUCACAAGUAAAGACUUGUGAACUUGCCCUUUACAGGACGGAAAAAUAUAUUAAAACAGUAUUCCAAGAAUACAAACAGAAGAGGUGCGAAAACUUCUUCCUUAUGAAUGAAUCAUUCUCAUGAUCAUUCUUACAAUCAAAUCUAGAUACUAAAAGAAAAAUAUUAAAAAUUCUAGAUUUCAAAGAUGUACUCGUGAGGAGUACGUAAAGAACUUAUGAAUGUAUCACUAUCUUGAUCAUUCUUACAACCACGUCUAGAAACAUAUAUACUAAACAAUCUAGACUACAAAGAAUGUACUUAUGAGAAGUACGUAAAGAAUGUACUCAUAAGGAGUACGUAAAGAUUGUACUCAUGAGGAGUACAACCAACCGAUUCUAGAAACACACUAAAACACUUAUGUAAUCUUUUCAGCUCUCGGUGUUUAUUUCUUCGGGAUCGAUCAAUUUCCUUGAGUAUUGAAAUCGGUAUUUAUAGACAUUUCAAGCUUCCACUCCUCAGCCCAUGAUCUGCAAGAAAACCAACUACAAGAGCACUCAAGAACAUGGGUUAGUGGGUUAGUUUAGAAGUUAAGAUAAAAUCCACAAUUUAAUCCACUAAGCACUACUUAACCCACUAAGUACUAUACUUAACCCACUAAGUACUAUACUUAACCCACUAAGCACUACUUUUUCAAUAACUAAAAUUUAGUUUAAAAAAUAAGAGAGUUAAAAAUAAAACGUGGAAAUAAUUCACGUGUUUCAGAAAGUUUUAAGGUAAUUUUUGCCUAACACGGUUUUAUCGUUAAAAUAAUGGAUUAUAAUAUAGAAAUUCUUAUAUUAUUUAAAAUGAAUACAAUAACUUUAAAGAAAUAACUGAAAUGUUAAUUGCAUCGGGACUUUACUGAAAUUGGCUUAUUUGCAGCGAUAGUCUCAUUUGUCAAUUUUCUAACUUUCUAAAAAUCGAAACUCUCUCAACUAAAAAAAAUCGAAAACUUAGAAUCUGAAGGUCGUUCGACAAAUUCGAAACUAAACAACAACAUUUUUUUUGUAUGGCCGAUCCAUAUUACUUUUACAAGGUAAAUACGAAGGAAGAGGGGGGGAACGUGUUGUGCAACACGUGGGUAGAAAAAAAGAAAAAAGUUGAAGUACCCGUCCCCUAGAGGACGGGAACCUAAGUUUUAGUUUUUUUUUUUUUUUUUUUUGGUUUACUUUAUUCCUUUAGUAUUAUUUGGUAGGGUGAUGAUGGUGAUUUUGACGAAGAAUAUGCAAACGAGUACAAUAAUCCCAAUAUGUAUUAUCAUGUUCCUCAAAUAAUUACAAAAUUUGACAUUUAAACUAAAUAUAUAUAUAUAUAUAUAUAUAUAUAUUAAAAAAAAAAAAAAAAAAAAAAGCCUUAGCUUCCCCGUCUCCCCCGCCAUAUCGAAAUUUAAUCUUCAGGACUUUUUCCGAACUUGAAGAAGCACCCAUAAUCCCAUUCCUCUUGUGCUAACGUGUCAUCUAUUGGGGGGGAAACGUGUUGUGUAGCACGUGGAUAAAAAAAAAGAAAAAAGUUGAAGUACCCGUCCCCUAGAGGACGGAAACCUAGGUUUUAGUUUAGUUUUUUUUUUUUUUACUUUAUUCCUUUAGUAUUAUGUGGUAGGGUGGAGAUGGUGAUUUUGACGAAGAAUAUGCAAACGAGUACCAUAAUGCCAAUAUGUGUUAUCAUGUUCCUAAAAUAAUUACAAAAUUUGACAUUUAAACUGAUAAUAUAUAUAUAUAUAUAUAUAUAUAUAUAUAUAUAUUUAAAAAAAAAGCCUUAGCUUCCCCGUCUCCCCCGCCAUAUCGAAAUUUAAUCUUCAGGACUUUUGUUGAACUUGAAGAAGCACUCUUAAUUCCAUUCCUCUUGUGCUAAUGUGCCAUCUAUAAGAAAUAAAUAUAUUAAUUAAUUAAUUAAAAAAAUAUUAAAGAAAAUUAAAACAUGAAGUUCCGUUCUGCCAGAACACGGGAACUUCAAGAAUCUUCAAGUUCCCGUGUUCUGCAGAAUGGGAACUUCAUGUUUUUUGAGUCGUCCGUUCUGCUGAGCACGGUAACAUAAAGAUUAUUCAAGUUCCAGUGUUCUGCAGAACAGGGGAAUCAUAUUUAAUUUAUUUUUAUUUUUUUUGAAAAUAAAAAUCUUUUUUUUCAGCUUCCCGUUCUUCGGAGCACGAACACUUGAAGAAACUUCAAGUUUCCGUGCUCUGCAGAACGGGGAGUUCAAAAAACUUGAAUCCUCCGUUCUAUAGAGCACGUAUACUUGAAGUUUCUUCAAGUGUUCGUGCUCUUUAGAACGGUGGCUUCAAAUUUUUUUUUUUUUUUUUUUUUGAAAAUUGGCUAUCUAAUCCUUAACAUGUGUUUUUAGCUAAAUUGUAGAUAAAACUAAUUAAAAGUAGUGGGAUAUUGAAAAAUUACCGGAAUCGAGCAUCGUUUGCUACGGAUACAAAGUUGAAAAAAUUUCCGAAAUUCGAAUGUCUUGAGAGAGUUUGGGAGUAGGAGAGAGAAUUUCAAAAAAAAAAAAAAAUUGGAAAAGAUUUCGCUGCAUUCAAUAAAAGGCCCGCUGCAAAUAGCAACACCCAAGAAACAAGGGUAAAUUACAACCACCCUCAAGAUUUUGUCAAUUUACGAAAAAACUCCUUUUGUUUGGAUAAUUAUAUCUACCCAUCAACUAUGAUUUUUUUCUUACACCUCCAUGCUUAUGGUGUCAAAUUCAAUAUAAUCAUGUAGAUUUCGUGGAAUGCUCUCUAGUUUUUACUGGUUAUUGUGCCAAAAUACAGUUUCUGAUGCACCACAAUCUGAUAUAUACAAGCCAAAAAUCACAUCUUAUGAUCAUCUUGCUUCAAAUUGUGGAGCUCGAAUGGGAUAAAACGGCUACAAAAUUAAGAAUAUUUCAUAUAAUAAAAAAAAAUCCACUAAAUUUGAAACCGCAGGGAUGAGUCGUGUAAGAAGAUUUAUAGUUGAGGGAUAGCUGUAAUUAUCCAAAUAGGAGGGGGUUUCGUAAUUUGACCAUACCUCAGGGGGUGUUUGUAAUUUACCCAAUUUUUAUUUAAUAGAAGUCAAUUGGCGGAGGAAUUUACCAAACAAAAUCCGAUAUUGCAGCCCAACCCACUAAUAUAAUCCAGCCCAUUCAUUACCCUGUAAUCUCUAUAUAUAUAUAUAAAAACGACUAGGGUUUCAAUUCGAUCGUAGAGAGAGAAAGUAGUAGAGAGAGAGAGAGAGAGAGAGAGAGAGAGAGAGAGAGAGAGAGAGAGAUGGAGAUGGCUUGUUAUGAAUCCGUCGUCGAUAAAUUGCAAGAGAUGAAACCGUUGAGUAACAACUGUGCGGGAAGAAUGAAUCUGAUAGCUGAACCCGCCGCCGUCAAUCAAUUGGAAGCGGCGGAGGAGAAGAAGAAUAAUCGUAAAGAGAUUCCAGAACAUGUAAAGAAGAUACUUGCCAUGUGGAAGGCUUGUGCAGGUUUUCUGCCAAUGUAUGAUCGAGAUAUCCCCGAUUCAUGUUCUCCCGAAGUAUUUCAGAGGCUCCUAGGUUUUGCCCAAUUGUCAAUUGAUGUCUUCAAUCAGAGACAGGUAAUUUUUUUUCUUUUUUUUCUUCCCCUCUGUUUAUGUUCAAUUUUGCCUUUUUUUUUUAGGUCAGAGUUUUUUUCAUGAUUUGAUUAUUAAUUUUGUGUGUGUGUGUAGCCCAUCAAAUACUGUGUGGUGGAUUUGGUGAAAGCAACGCAACUUUUGGUGGAUGGGUAUUUAGUCGAUUUGAGGUUUACCGCCAAGCCUGCUGAUUAUGAAGAUGAAGAUGAAGAUGAAGAUGAACAAGGUGCCAAAAAUUUUAAAGCUAAUAUUUACUAUGGAGUCAGACCCACUGAAGUAACCGCUGUUACGAUGCUCUCUACUUGAAAAAAAAAAAAAAAGGUAAUUACUUCGUUUUUUCUCGUUUGUUUCAAUGAUGAAGAAUCCUUACUAAAAUUAUAAUUACUAGUUAAGUUAGAUGUUGGAUAUUUAGUCUUUUGAGUUGUUGGGAUGUUUAAUAUGUUGUUGGAAAUUUGAUAAUUCGAAGUUAUCGUGUUUUAUAUGAAUUGAUGUCGGGGAAAGUCACACGCAUUUUACACACCGAUCAACUCUUUCUCCUGACCUUGAAGUUUAAUGUAUUGAUUGAUACAUUGCUUCUGGGCAUGGUACCUGUAUUUAUAUGAUGAUAUUUAGCAUGAAGCAUGUGAAAGGCAGAAUUAAGUGG
Molecule: long non-coding RNA, 10754 nt
Filed under: Erythranthe guttata (spotted monkey flower)
Lineage: Eukaryota; Viridiplantae; Streptophyta; Magnoliopsida; Lamiales; Phrymaceae
Description: long non-coding RNA (EGUT_LNC002170)
Source: RNAcentral